AGCAGCCGCGGUAAUUCCAGCUCCAAUAGCGUAUAUUAAAGUUGUUGCAGUUAAAAAGCUCGUAGUUGAAUUUCGGGAUCAAUGCGUCGGUCGUGCCUUCGGUACGUACUAGCGUCAUUGAUUCCUCCCUUCUGAAGAACCGUGAUGUCAUUAAUUUGGUGUUACGGGGAAUCAGGACUGUUACCUUGAAAAAAUUAGAGUAGUUUAAGGCAGGCUAACGCUUGAAUACAUUAGCAUGGAAUAAUGAAAUAGGACGUUCGAACCUAUUUGUUGGUUUCUAGGAUCGACGUAAUGAUUAAUAGGGAUAGUUGGGGGCAUUAGUAUUCAAUUGUCAGAGGUGAAAUUCUUGGACUUAUUGAAGACUAACUACUGCGAAAGCAUUUGCCAAGGAUGUUUUCAUUAAUCAAGAACGAAAGUUAGGGGAUCGAAGACGAUCAGAUACCGUCGUAGUCUUAACCAUAAACUAUGCCGACUAGGGAUCGGAUGAUU
RNAcentral lists this ribosomal RNA (489 nucleotides) under uncultured Glomus. Its description in RNAcentral is "SSU rRNA". It matches the Rfam family "Eukaryotic small subunit ribosomal RNA", at positions 569 to 1062 of the family's 1831-position model. Lineage: Eukaryota; Fungi; Glomeromycota; Glomeromycetes; Glomerales; Glomeraceae. The record is from RNAcentral.